GUGUCAGCCGCCGCGGUAAUACGGAGGAUGCAAGCGUUAUCCGGAUUCAUUGGGUUUAAAGGGUGCGCAGGCGGAUUGUUAAGUCAGGGGUGAAAUCCUACAGCUCAACUGUAGAACUGCCCUUGAUACUGUCAGUCUAGAGUAUAGUUGAAGUGGGCGGAAUGUGUCAUGUAGCGGUGAAAUGCUUAGAUAUGACACAGAACACCGAUCGCGAAGGCAGCUCGCUAAGCUAUAACUGACGCUCAUGCACGAAAGCGUGGGGAUCAAACAGGAUUAGAUACCCUCGUAGUCC
This 292-nucleotide ribosomal RNA is filed under the name uncultured bacterium. Its description in RNAcentral is "partial 16S ribosomal RNA". It matches the Rfam family "Bacterial small subunit ribosomal RNA", at positions 505 to 796 of the family's 1533-position model. The record is from RNAcentral.